Molecule: long non-coding RNA, 4964 nt
Organism: Dama dama (fallow deer)
Lineage: Eukaryota; Metazoa; Chordata; Mammalia; Artiodactyla; Cervidae
Exons: 3
Source: RefSeq, a predicted model, not a curated record
UCUGAGCUGGGAGAACAAGGAAGGGCUGGGUUGGCAGGGCACCCCACUGUCCCCAGGAAAAGGAGCAAGGAAAAGUUCCCUUCUCAAUCCCCUUUCUAGACCAGCUGAUACUGGGAUGCCACCCUUGGGGUAUGAUACUUACCUGUCUGAGCCUAAAUUUCCUCAUUUGUGUGAAAGACAGAGAAAGUCAUCAGAGAAAGCCCUGUUAUUAGUAUCAAGCAAACGAACUAUGGAUUAAUUUCCUAGAUUCCUACCUGCCCUAAGGCUGAUGGAUGAGACUUGUCAAGUUUGCUGCAGAUGAUGACAAAGCAAGGGCUUAAGACAAGAGGACUCCUGCUAAGGUUAGGUGCCGAGCCCACCCCACCAUGACCUUACACACCUCCGGAAGAGGAAGGUCUGGAAGAAAGCUGCAGACCAUCUGCAGAUUUCCAUCUUCCCGGUUUUCCAGGGAGAGAAGAAAUUCACUGUCUUUGUGAGUCGGGCAGGUAGCGGAAAUGGAGCAUGCUUGGGGUCUGCAGACUGUAUCCUUAGGCCUUUGCGUGGUGCCUGGCCAGGAACAAGUGCUCAGUAGAGUUGCCAAUAAUGUCAUCUCCCCGGUGGAAACCAGUGAGCAAUGAGACCUUCACGAAAGAUGAAAAAAGACCUUGUAGGAUGAAGAAAAGAAAGAGUCCUGGCAAUAUUCCUGCCAAGUGAGAGGCCACGAAGCACGGAAUGAUUUAGAGAGGACCACACACAGCGCCCCAGGGCCAGACACAGCCACUUCCUGCUCUGUGAGCAUCCGGGCCCCCUGGAAUCUCCAGGGCACCCCCGCUUCAGUACCUCUGCGGAGAGGGAUUUCUGCCGCCUAUUCCACUCCGUCACCUAGGAGAUGAACUCAGCAAAGAGGAGCAACUUGAAUUCACCUUGGACUCUCAGCAGGUACAGAGAAAACAACUUAGGAGAAUUGACUGUAGAGAAGUGUUUACCAGCAGUCUUCAAACUUUUUGGCACCAGGGGCCAGUUUUGUGGAAGACAAUUUUUCCAUGGACUGGGUAGGGGUGGGGGGUUGAUUUUGGAGUGAUUUAAGUACACUGCAUUUAUCGUGCACUUUGCUUCUAUCAUUAUUACAUCAGGCUCCACCUCAGAUUAUCAGGCCUUACAUCCCAGAGACUGGGGAACAACACAGCUGAAAAAUGACCUCCCAGACCUGUCUUCUUCCCAAAAUCUGAUCUUUAAUACUUUCUGUAAGACCUAAAACAUUGCAGGAAAUUGAGCUGAAUUGAAGCAAAACCUCAUGUAAACGUAUUGCUGAACAUUUCUGUGUUGCUUUUAUUAUGAGAAAAAAAAAGAACAUUCCAAUAAUUUUAGCUAUAGCUAGAAGCUUUGCUUUUUUAAGUCUGAUAUGGUAUAUUUUUAUCAAAAUGACAAAGUGAAGGUAAUAGAGGAAGGGGCUUUACAGUCGCAAUACUAUUAGGAGAUUUCUGUACCCAAACAGGAAAUCUAAAGACCUGUAAACUGGAAGCCGAAGUGAGUUCAUUUGAGACUCUUAAGUACACACACUUGCCACUACCUGUCUCAAAAGCUUGUCUGAGACACAGAAGUCUUAAUUAAAUGCAGAUGAAAAGGUGUCCUGAGUUGAUUUUCUCGUUUAACAUUAGACUUUCUUGAAUUAAGCAGCUCAGUAAGAAACGAGACAUAAUUGAGUCUUGCUUUUAAUUAAACAUAUAGAGAUAUAUUUAUUUAUUUACUUGUUCCACUAAGAUAUUGCUGAAUUUUCAUUAACGCUGCUGAUUUUUUUUCUUUCCAUAGAAAAAUACUCUUGUUAAUCUUGCUUGAAUGCAAUUAAUUGUGCUGUGUUUAUCUUCCUGGCUUCACCAUUAAUUCCAGUGUAGAACCAAUUAUUUUCCAGUGUAGAACCAAUUAUUUAUAUUUUUCACUGCUCCUAACAUCCUCCCUACUGAACAUUCAUCAAUAAUGCCAUGACUCACAGUACACUUUUAUUUUGGGUGGAAGGAAGUGAGGAAUCAGUUUGGAGGAAGAAAUGAGAGAGAGGUGUCUAUAAAAGACGUUUCAUUGGGUAGCAUGGAUUGGAAAUGUCCCUGAUGAAGGACACAAGUGCCUACUUUUGGAUAUAAUUACGGUGCUGUGAUUGCUUUCUGCCUUACUCUUUCUUUCUCCAGAUGCAGAUGACAGGCUAAGAAAAGAUUCCUAUAGUUACUGCACCUCUAAACACCCAACAAACAGGAACAGUAAAACACCUUAAGAGACUGUGACAUAUUGAUUCACUACACACCUCUGGCCAGGUCGGGAGUCAGGACCUGAAACAACAUACGGGGACAGCUCAGAUUCUGUCUCUGUGGGAAGUGCCUACCAGUCUGAGCAUCCAAGGCUUAAUAGAAAACCAAGCCUUCAAACAAACUGGGGGCUUUUAAUCAAGCACUCUCUGAAUCACAUUUUGUACUCCACUCAAAGGACUGCAGCCAGACAGCCCCACUUGGCUUUUGAUUCCCCCUUGAACUGGGCAUCAUCCGUGGCCAUAUGAGUAGGCGGAGAAGAAGUAAAUAGAAGUCACUUCCAAUUCACAGCAUGUCUCCAGCUGCCUUUUUUGCUCUCUGCAGACACCCAGGAACACUGGUACAGCAGAGACUCUCAUCAUUUUGGAGAAGAGAGUGAGCUGAUUACAUAUCACCUAAGCCUUAUUAAAACCCCUGACUGAAAUACGUCCACUGGUGAAAUAAUAUUUACCAGGCCUCUAUAUUUUCAACAUACACCUUCACUUCCAUGUAUCAAUACUUGGCUUUAGUCUCUGGUAGUUACUAGCCUGAAGGUAGCUCUGAGUUCUCCCAUGAAUCUAGUGAUUAAGGGUCUUGCUCUUAACACACUUUCAGAGUCAUGAGCAUCAGCCUCUGAUAUUAAUGAAUAAAUGGGUGAGUUGAGUAUUGCUGGCAGGCAAAGUGGGUUCUAAAGACCCUCCACGUGUUUAUGAGGACAAGCUCCUGUCUCCACUCCAGGCAAGGGCAAAUCAGAUCUUCCAAAGCCUUUCUCUUUCCCACUUGCCAUCCUCUGGUUUCACUGAAGGAUCUGGCAUGCAUGCAUGCGUGCUAAGUCACUUCAGUUGUACUCGACUCUUCGCAACCCCGUGGACUGUGGCCCUCCAGGCUCCUCUGUCCAUGGGAUUCUCCAGGCAAGUGUACCGGAAUGGUUGCCACGCUCCGCCUCCAGGGGAUCUUCCCAACCCAGGAAUCGAAACUGUGGUUCUUACCUCUCCUGCAUUGGCGGGCGAGUUCUUCACCACUAGCGCCACCUGGGAAGGCCCGAGGGAACCAGAGGGCAUACCUAACAAGAACAUUGUGUUUGGAUGGGUCAGGUCUGCAGGGUAGCAGUGCUUGUCCUAUCACUUUGUACGCCGAGUCGGUUUAUGUUUGAUUGGCUUCUUUGGCAGUAACCCAACAUAGGGAAGUAUAAAUUCCAUGAUAUGUUCUGCUCAUCUCUAGACUAUCAUGCUAAGUUGUUUUCCUCCCCAGCCAAAGUUUAAUAAGAAGGGGAAAGAGAGAAAUAGUUGACAGUUCCUGAGCACCUACCAUGGGCCAGGUACUGUGCUAAAUACUUCACAUGCAUUAUCUUAUUUCAUCUUCAUGUGUAAAAGGGAGACCCAGAGGGCCCAAAGAAGUUAGGUUACUUGCUCAGGACCACACAGCUGAUGAAGCGCAGGGUGUGGGGCCCUCUGACUGCGUACUGCCUCUCCUUUAAGCACCUGCCUGGGGAGCUGGCCCUAAGGUUUACCUGGUGAUAGGAAGAGAUGAAAUCUAGAAGCGUCGACAGCAUCUCUACUCCAAAGAAAAAGGAACUAUUGUCAGAAAACACUGCAACCGCUGUGGCCUUCUUUCCAGGAUAAGAAUAAAUUUGCUGAAUUCUCCUUUAAGGCACUAAUGACUGGGCUGCUGAGCUCCACGAGCUAUUAUUGUUUUCCAGGCUGACACUAGGCUGGCUCUCUCUACUUUCAGGCUAAUAAUUAGAUCUAAAUCCCUGACAGGACUCUCACCACCACCCCAGGGGGUUCUAGAUUUCUUUACUAUUGCUUGUAAAGAUUUCAUUUAAAAAAAAAAGCCCUUUGAAGCUAUAAGUUACACUCAGGCACAGCUUAAAAAAAAAAUCUAUUAUCUAUUUGAGUCUUUUGAAGAACACACACUACCAUCUCUCUCCUCACCUUCAGAGAUCAAAUCUUAUUUUUAUCUCCAAUUUGAAGACCAAAGAUCCCCAGGAGGACCAGAGAAGGGAGCUUCAUCAAAUGUCAUUUCCAUCAGUACCUGUGUCUUUGAGAGGCUCACUGGGGUAGCAUCCAGGCUAUCGGAAUGUCUUAACUAUACAUUUUCUACAUAUAUGUGAAAAUUAUGGCGGCGGCUUUGCUCCUCAGGGGGAGAAAUAUGAAACCGCUUUUUAUAUGAACAAAUGAAUCUUGGCCUCGCGCGAGGUCGCUCUGAGCCAGGCCUCGGGCCUUGCUGUUUACCCAACGCUGCCCUGCUCGCCUCCCCUCCCACGCUGAUCUGCAACCGCGCUUGAGUGGCUGUGAUCAUAGAAAGCAGCCAUCUGACCCAAAUGGGGCACUCCAAAUCUUUGGAGGAGCAAGAAAAGCCACACAAAUGUGAAGCUGGCUCAGGUGGGGGAUCAUGGGCCUCAUUAAUGUGUGUUAAAGCCACUGAGUGGCUUCUCGGGGGACCCAGUCACUCAGGAAAAACCUGUUCUGAGACCGUCUCAUCACUUUAUAUGAUGACUCCUUUGGAGAAUCCCUGGUGCCUCUGAGGAGGGAGGCAAAGCGCCGGCUGGUCUCUCUUGACUAAGUCUGGUCUGUUCACACAGUAAAUGAUUCCAGCCAGAAGGCCCAAGGAAGAGAUUUGGUAAAUAUUCCAGCCACACAUUUCAACCAAGUGUUUUCUGGGAGAUUGCAGUGAAGACUUUUUCAGAGGCAUAAAAUCAUAUGAGUGUUU